Salmo salar (Atlantic salmon) is the source of this 451-nucleotide long non-coding RNA. RefSeq lists it as uncharacterized. The record is from RefSeq and is a predicted model, not a curated record. Lineage: Eukaryota; Metazoa; Chordata; Actinopteri; Salmoniformes; Salmonidae.
UUUUCAAACACUGUUCUGAGACGUAGGCUACAGCCAAGGAAGUCAGUUUGGGGAGUGGGGGUCAAUUUAUGCACAAGGAAGUGAAGGUGGACAACAAAAACAUGAUCUUUGACUGGAAUUGCUCAUUUCAUUCUGUUCACAGGUCCAGGGGAUUCAGUCACAGCUGUCACACAUGGACAGUGGAGGAGGAACCAGAGACCUGUCCAAACACACUGUGAUUGGCUGCAUGGUAUACUGACGAGGAGGCACACAAAGAUUUCACCCUCCCUAUACCGCUGAUGAAUAUAACUGGAAACCUGUUCGAUCACCAUGCACUGCAAAAUCCUUCUGGCUAUGGAUACGAAGGAUAUCAACACGUUGGGGGUACAGACUUAAUACCUAACUCAGUUGCCGGAGAGGAAGGAAACUGCUCAGGGAUUUUUUUUGGAGUAACUACAAUGUUAUUGAUCCA